UUCAGAAGUGUGCUCUGCCGUUGCUGUGUAUGUUUGCUGACGUUCAAACAACAUCCGUUCUUUAUCUCUCUGUGUUAUCCUCAGGAGAGUGACAUCAUUCAUGGUCACCUGGUUGAAAUAGGGUGCUUUUCUUAAGGGGACAUCAGAGGUGCCCAUUCCUG
Long non-coding RNA from Dermochelys coriacea (leatherback sea turtle), 161 nucleotides. RefSeq lists it as uncharacterized. The transcript is spliced from 3 exons. Lineage: Eukaryota; Metazoa; Chordata; Testudines; Dermochelyidae. The record is from RefSeq and is a predicted model, not a curated record.